RNAcentral lists this ribosomal RNA (270 nucleotides) under Triticum aestivum (bread wheat). Its description in RNAcentral is "partial small subunit ribosomal RNA". The record is from RNAcentral. Lineage: Eukaryota; Viridiplantae; Streptophyta; Magnoliopsida; Poales; Poaceae.
AUGCUAGAUUACUCACAUUUCAUAUCGCUUCCAUUGACCAUCCACCCCGAUCAUGUCGAGAAGCUCAGUAACUUCCAGAGGUUGAUCCUCGGGGUGUCUGCAUCUAAUGUAGAUAGUGAUAAGGAUGAUAUCCUAAGCGAAUGUUCCGUGGAUGAAAUUGAUGAAGCAACGAGCCCUAGUGUUCCAGUCAAGCAGCCAGUCCAAGAAGAAAAGCCUGUCAUAGUGAAAAUGGAUAAUAAAGGCUCUCAACCAGGUCUAAAGCUUUGCUGA